AAAUUGAAGAGUUUGAUCAUGGCUCAGAUUGAACGCUGGCGGCAGGCCUAACACAUGCAAGUCGAACGGUAACAGGAAGCAGCUUGCUGCUUUGCUGACGAGUGGCGGACGGGUGAGUAAUGUCUGGGAAGCUGCCUGAUGGAGGGGGAUAACUACUGGAAACGGUGGCUAAUACCGCAUAACGUCGCAAGACCAAAGAGGGGGACCUUCGGGCCUCUUGCCAUCAGAUGUGCCCAGAUGGGAUUAGCUAGUUGGUGAGGUAACGGCUCACCAAGGCGACGAUCCCUAGCUGGUCUGAGAGGAUGACCAGCCACACUGGAACUGAGACACGGUCCAGACUCCUACGGGAGGCAGCAGUGGGGAAUAUUGCACAAUGGGCGCAAGCCUGAUGCAGCCAUGCCGCGUGUAUGAAGAAGGCCUUCGGGUUGUAAAGUACUUUCAGCGGGGAGGAAGGUGUUGCGGUUAAUAACCGCAGCAAUUGACGUUACCCGCAGAAGAAGCACCGGCUAACUCCGUGCCAGCAGCCGCGGUAAUACGGAGGGUGCAAGCGUUAAUCGGAAUUACUGGGCGUAAAGCGCACGCAGGCGGUCUGUCAAGUCGGAUGUGAAAUCCCCGGGCUCAACCUGGGAACUGCAUUCGAAACUGGCAGGCUUGAGUCUUGUAGAGGGGGGUAGAAUUCCAGGUGUAGCGGUGAAAUGCGUAGAGAUCUGGAGGAAUACCGGUGGCGAAGGCGGCCCCCUGGACAAAGACUGACGCUCAGGUGCGAAAGCGUGGGGAGCAAACAGGAUUAGAUACCCUGGUAGUCCACGCCGUAAACGAUGUCUACUUGGAGGUUGUGCCCUUGAGGCGUGGCUUCCGGAGCUAACGCGUUAAGUAGACCGCCUGGGGAGUACGGCCGCAAGGUUAAAACUCAAAUGAAUUGACGGGGGCCCGCACAAGCGGUGGAGCAUGUGGUUUAAUUCGAUGCAACGCGAAGAACCUUACCUGGUCUUGACAUCCACAGAACUUUCCAGAGAUGGAUUGGUGCCUUCGGGAACUGUGAGACAGGUGCUGCAUGGCUGUCGUCAGCUCGUGUUGUGAAAUGUUGGGUUAAGUCCCGCAACGAGCGCAACCCUUAUCCUUUGUUGCCAGCGAUUAGGUCGGGAACUCAAAGGAGACUGCCAGUGAUAAACUGGAGGAAGGUGGGGAUGACGUCAAGUCAUCAUGGCCCUUACGACCAGGGCUACACACGUGCUACAAUGGCGCAUACAAAGAGAAGCGACCUCGCGAGAGCAAGCGGACCUCAUAAAGUGCGUCGUAGUCCGGAUUGGAGUCUGCAACUCGACUCCAUGAAGUCGGAAUCGCUAGUAAUCGUGGAUCAGAAUGCCACGGUGAAUACGUUCCCGGGCCUUGUACACACCGCCCGUCACACCAUGGGAGUGGGUUGCAAAAGAAGUAGGUAGCUUAACCUUCGGGAGGGCGCUUACCACUUUGUGAUUCAUGACUGGGGUGAAGUCGUAACAAGGUAACCGUAGGGGAACCUGCGGUUGGA
RNAcentral lists this ribosomal RNA (1531 nucleotides) under Salmonella enterica. Its description in RNAcentral is "bacterial SSU rRNA". It matches the Rfam family "Bacterial small subunit ribosomal RNA". Lineage: Bacteria; Pseudomonadati; Pseudomonadota; Gammaproteobacteria; Enterobacterales; Enterobacteriaceae. The record is from RNAcentral.